GUGGGGAAUUUUGGACAAUGGGCGCAAGCCUGAUCCAGCAAUGCCGCGUGAGUGAAGAAGGCCUUCGGGUUGUAAAGCUCUUUUGUCAGGGAAGAAACGGUGAGGGCUAAUAUCCUUUGCUAAUGACGGUACCUGAAGAAUAAGCACCGGCUAACUACGUGCCAGCAGCCGCGGUAAUACGUAGGGUGCAAGCGUUAAUCGGAAUUACUGGGCGUAAAGCGUGCGCAGGCGGUUGUGCAAGACCGAUGUGAAAUCCCCGGGCUUAACCUGGGAAUGGCAUUGGUGACUGCACGGCUAGAGUGUGUCAGAGGGGGGUAGAAUUCCACGUGUAGCAGUGAAAUGCGUAGAGAUGUGGAGGAAUACCGAUGGCGAAGGCAGCCCCCUGGGAUAACACUGACGCUCAUGCACGAAAGCGUGGGGAGCAAACAGGAUUAGAUACCCCAGUAGUCC
RNAcentral lists this ribosomal RNA (450 nucleotides) under uncultured bacterium. RNAcentral's name for it is "bacterial SSU rRNA". It matches the Rfam family "Bacterial small subunit ribosomal RNA", at positions 354 to 796 of the family's 1533-position model. The record is from RNAcentral.